Molecule: long non-coding RNA, 5998 nt
Filed under: Manihot esculenta (cassava)
Lineage: Eukaryota; Viridiplantae; Streptophyta; Magnoliopsida; Malpighiales; Euphorbiaceae
Description: long non-coding RNA (MESC_LNC003652)
Source: RNAcentral
GGAAACCGAUACCCCUCUGUAACGGCCCGAACCGCCACCGGCGCUAGGAUCCAGAUCGGCUUAAGGCCGCCGGGACCCGUAGCAAGCCAAACAUACAUACUAUUACCUGGUCAAAUCCCAUACAUGAUUAAAAACUUUAACAUGAAACCUGAAAUCUGAACAUACACCAAGCUUGAUUCGUAAGUUGCAACAUAACUGUGAACAUAAACUUUCCCAUGCUAGAGUCAUCAUCAAAUGCUCUAGCUGGGUCAUCAUUACAUACAUCAAGCCUGGUUCUCAACUCAACAUAAAAACAUUUCAUAAUCAUGCGUCAACAGGGAUUAACCAGUCUAUAGGGCCAAGCACACUCUAAUCCAUAAACAUUAACUCUACUAUCAGCUACAUACAUUAUCUCAAAUUACAUUACAUCAUCUUAUAUUACAUGUCCACUUCUAAAACUACUAAACUGCUACAAAACAUAAACUAUUACAUACAUAACUUAACUUAGCCUUGACUUUACCCUGCUGCCUCUGAACUCUGACUCAACCUGCAACACUGGGGUUAGGGGAAAGGGAUGAGCUAAAAAGCCCAGUGAGUAGAAACAGAGAAAACAGUUCAUUAAUUACAUGCUUUCAUGAAAUGCGUCAUAACACAAGUAAAUCACAUAACUUGUCCGUCUCGGGGCUCAUGCAAUAUUUAUUCCCCACGGACCCUGGUUUCUGAGAGUCUGUCUUUUUGCAUGCAUCUUUCCUCUCAGAGGAUGGACAUGACAUCAAAAAUCCCUCUGUCGGUGCCCGGCUCCCCCAUAGGAGCUCACAAAGGCCUGUAACAUACAUGACAUGGUGUCUGAUCCACAGAGAGCUCACAUGGACUUUCCUACAUGUACUUGUCCGGCUCUCAAAGGACUAAGACAAGACUCGUGACAGAUAUGGGCUAUUGAAGUCGCCUCGGUCCACCCUUCCUCUAUCAACAUCAAAUAAUGCAAUGCGUCAUAUUCGUGAAACUAGUGCAAUCAACCUACUACAUAUAAUCAUGAUGCAUGAACAUGCUUUAGGCAUUAGAUUUUGUGCAUAAAAGAUUAAGUUUAGUUCUACUCACAUCCUGGCAGACGCUGACUGACUCUGCAACUGCUAGCAUUACUGGCCUCCUCGGUCCCUCGGGUCCGAUCCUACACAGGUGGACUCGAAUGAGGUGCCAAACACAUUCUAACAACUCAUAAACAACUCCCCAAAAACCCCUCUAAACAUCACUUAAUCAUGCAUGGAAAACACCCAAGAAACGGCUGGACAGGGCACUUUCGGCGGCACCUUCGGCGGCCGAAAGUCCCUUCCAGAGACGAAACUCGGGUAGGUUCGGCGGCAGGUUCGGCGGCCGAAACCCUAGGACAGAAACGAAAGUCCCUCCUUCGGGGGCACAUUCGGCAGCCUAAAGACUGCCUCCCAUGCAGGUUCGGCGGCCGAAACUCCUUUCGGCGGCCGAACCUGGUCCCCUCUGGACGACAGGUCCGAUUCUGCCAAGCCAAAAAACCAAACUCAACAUACCCAAAUCCUUACAUACUCUCUCCCAACAUGCAUACUCACUCCCACAAGCAUAAAGGAGCAUAAACUAACAUAAACUCCUCAACACAAACAUCACAUAACAUACACUGGGUAUAAAACCCACAUAAACCUAAACAUGCCAUUCUACCCAUUCAAAACUCCAAUAAACUUACUUAAAACUCAUUAAAACAUAAAAGGAAGCAUAGAUCUACACUUACCUCUUGAAGAUCGAGGGUUGCGUGAUCUCUAACUCGGAGGUAUGGAGAAUCCAAGCUCCAAAAGCUCCAAGCUCCCAAAACUCCUUUUAAGCUUUAAAUCUUCAAACACAAAGGUAGAAAUCAUGAAAAACUUGAGAGAUGGGUAGAGAAAACACGAAAACGACCAAAGGAAGGCAUAAACUCACCUGAGCUCGAGAAUGGGGAGAAAACUCACCCAUUUCCGAUCUGAGGGCCUUUUAUAGGUGGCCUGGUCGAAGACCUUCGGCAGCCUAACGUGCCCCCUAAACUCAUGCAUGUUCGGCGGCCGAACUUGACUUUCGGCGGCCGAACCUUGGCUCGUUUAAACAAGACUUUCGGAGGCCAAAGGCGCUCCCGAAGCCUUCCCAUGUUCGGCGGCCGAACUCCACUUUCGGCGGCCGAACCUGGCAAUUGCCUCCUUGGUCUUUUCCCUUCAAAACUCAAUUCUCUUUCCUUUUAAAACCAUGAAAUCAUGUGAAAACAUUUUAGAAAACACAUUUUACCCCUUCUAGAGAGAUCCAACACCUUAGAUUCCGCCGGAAGGCAGGAAUCCCGAUGCCGGAUUCUAGCCGGGUAUUACAUAUCCAGUGCUGAGGUCAUGUUGUCCUUGCUUUAUUUCUAUUCGCCCUGCCAAUCAGCCCAGUUCAAGAUUUUAUCCAGUGCCUGGACAAAAUUGAUCACAGCAAUAUCGUAACGCCUUGGCAAGAUUCUAGGCUUUCUCUUGCUCUAAGCAAGGGAGUGAGCUUUUGAGCAUUUUUCAGCCUUGGUUAGCUUCUAGGCAUUCUCUAGCCCUAGCGCAUUUUUGGGCAUUCCCUACCCUUAGCGAGCUUCCGUGCAUAUUCCAGCCCUGAUGAGCUUCCGUAUAUUUUCUAGCCCUAUUGUUCUUUCGGGCAUUUUCUAGCUCUGACGAGCUUCCGAGUAUUUUCUUGUCCCAAUAAGCCCUAAUGAGCUUCUGGACAUUUUCUAGUCUUGAUGAGCUUCUGGUCAUUUUCCUCCUUACAGACUUUGCUCUCUCACUUAGCAGUCCGUCCUGCCUUCGUCUGUCACACCCAAACCCAAAACUAUAAAGAUGGAUAUGACCAGGAAAACUGACAGAACUUCCCCUAAAAUUUAUACAUAUAACCUGCUAUAAUUUCAAAACAUUAAGCAUAUAAGAGAAAAACUGAUAGUUGGACCUGUCAAUUCAUUAAAUAUUUACAAUCAACAAAAUACUAUUUCCACUGGGCUGUACAAUCUAUACAUAAUCUAUCAAAAUUACAAAAAGAAAAGACAAAAGACUUAGGAUUGGUCCGACCUCCUCUAAACUCUGAGUGGAUGAUGUGGAAGGAAGGACAAACAAGAAUAUGAGGACUGCUGAGCAGAUCACCAAAAAGGAACUGUAAAGUAAAAGAAAUAUAAGGGUGAGUACAAACUACUCAGUGAGCGGAUAAAUAAACAACAAAGGGGAAAAGAUAAGUUUAGGUAUUUCGGCAUAGCUAGACCUCCCAAAAAUACCCAAACUCAACAAAAAUACUCAAUAAGCUGUAAAUAUUAUUUAAAUCAACCUAUGAAAAUCAUUAAUCCCAAAAAUAAAUAUUAAAACUCAUUAAUUGGAUCUAACUAAAACAGAACCCAUUUUUAUCCUCAAAUCACAAAAAUCACUAUUAAAAGGUAAAGAAAAUAAAUUAUAUCGUAAAAAUUGAAUAAAAGGAAUAAAACUCACCUACCCAAAUUUUGGAGCCUCUGGAAGAAAUUAUUGAAUUUUUAAGCAGAAUAUAGGUUUAAUCAGGAUCUAGCUGAAGGAUCUUAGAAGUUUAUGGGUUGAGGGGAGGAGAUUUGGAUUAAAGAAAAAGAAAUUUUUUUUUUUUUUUANNNNNNNNNNNNNNNNNNAACUUUGGUUUCGGGACAUUCUCGAAACCAGAGCUUAAAAGCUCUUUUUUUUAUGGGCCUGGGCUUGGGCCUGAUAUCGUCAAUCAUAAAAAAGUCUCGUUCGCCUACAAUGGGCCUUCUUCCUUCGCAAAAAAUUUUGGAUUUCCAAGAGUGAUUGUAAGAGCAGUGUCAAAUGCCUUGGAAACUUCUUGUGAAACGGGAUUGACACCCGGUUGGUCGGCCUAGCGUAUACCCGCCUUGUAGCCUGGCAUCAAAUGUAUUAGAAACAUUUUGUGAAACGGGACUAAUACCUAAUUGGUCUACCUGGCGUAUACCCACCUUGUGGCCUAGUAUCAAAUGUCUUAGAAACUUCUUGGAACUAACACCCGGUUGGUAGGUCCGGCAUAUACCCGCCUUAUGGUCUGGCAUCAAAUGUCUUAGAAACUUCUUGGGAUUAUUACCCAAUUGGUCAGCCUGGCGUAUACUCGCCUUGUGAUAUGGCAUUAAAUGCUUUAGAAAUUUCUUGGACUAACACCCAGUUUGUGGACUGGCGAAUUGUGGCCUUGCAGAAUCUACCUUAUGGUCUUAUUUAGCGGGACUAACACCCAGAUUGUGGCCUAGCGGAAUCCACCUUGUGGCCUUUAACGAAUGCUCUUUAAUCUUUUUAAAGAAGGCAACCCCAACAUUCCUUGUCUCUGAAGAACACAACACAUGAAAAAAUAUGUCGCUAACUUUCAUUGAUAAAUUUUCUCAAUAUUCCAAGAGUGUGAAAUGACUCAGCUAUCUAACUUGGCUAACUUAUAGGACCAUGGAUGAAUAACCUUCGAGAUUCUAAAUGACCAUUUUCAGUUUUUGCCUAACUUACCAGACCUAACACCACUGCCUGUUACGUCUAUUCUUUCAAGAACUAAGUCCUCCACAUUAAAAGCACGUAACUUGACUCUAUUGUUGAAUAUUCUGGAUAUUUUACUCCUGUAAACUGCCACUCUGACUUCCUUUCUUUAGGACUUCCUGAAAUAUUUUGCUCCUGUAAACUACCACUCUGACUUCUUUUCUUUAGGACUUCCUGAAAUCUUAGGGUGCUUGCAUGCGCUUGACAUCGAUGACACUUUUGGACAAGCUCUUUUGUGUCUUGCAUUAUCAUUGGUUAGUAGUAUCAUUGUCAGAAUGCUUUUUGGGCGAUCGUCCGAACUCCUUCGUAAUUUUCACAAUUACUUUUAUGAAUGUCUUUAAGGUUUCUCGGCCCUCAUCUUCUAUUACGCAUUAAGCUAUGGUUGAGUUGAAGAUCUCCUAUACAACCGAUCAUUAAUUAGUAUAUAUUUAGAGAAUUUUUUUAUUACCUGUUUAGCCGACCAUUCAUUGGCCGGCAGAUCAUCUUGUGUCAAAAACUUAUAUACGGGUGUCAUCCACGAUUCUCCUUCCUCUGCCGCCGCCGUUUUGGCCAGAAAUCAGCCUCUUCGUUAUCGCCUCUAGUCAUUUAGUGAAGUUCGCAGUUGCUCUCAUUAGUAGUAACUUUAGUAGCAGCUCGUGAAUCACCGGCUAUUUCGAGAGAGAGAAGAGAAAGAUUUCUUUUUAAGAGAAAGAGGUUAAGAAAGCAGUUUUUAAUCCAAAUGAAUAGAGAGAGUUCAGUAGAAUUCCCAACAAUCAAAACCAAAUGAUGCGACCGAAAUGAAAUUGUGUUGUGAUUGUUCAAUUCUACAAGAAAAUAUAACAUAAGAUAGUUGGCGCCUACGGCAGUCACUCCGACGUUUAAGUCAGUAAACUAGAGAAUAGGGCAAAUGUAAGGAGAACUCAAAAGUAGUUGUGUAAGAAUUGCGUACUUUGAUAUAUGUCAUCACUAGUUUUUAUACUAUAAGAAAAAGAAAUAAAUUAUAGAAUUUUCUGAAAAUCCGACAAAUCUUUCUCUACAUUGGUGAAACCACAUAUGAAUUUGUUAAAUUCUUAUAAUGUGACCUUAUUUUAUGAUAAUCUUAUCUUAUGAACAGUUCAUGAUUUACCUCCAACGAUUAUUUUGUAAUAUCACUUUCAUGAUUUACCUUGUACGAUUGUUUUGUAAUAUCACUUUUCAUUCAAUUUUAAAUUAUAAGUAAUUUUUAUUAAUUUAUUAAUAUAUUCCAUCUUAAUAUAAAUAAAAAAUAUUAAUUUUGAUAAUAAUUUAACUAUAAAUUAAUAUAAACAGAGAAUAUGUUGAAAAAAUAAUAUAAAUUAAUCUAUUAAUUAAACUAUAUUAACUCUAUUUUUAUAAUUCAUGUUAAACAACUAUUGAAUUUUUGUAAUACCAUUCUAUUUGUUGCUUUCUUUUUGCCAGAUAAAGAGUUUGCUUCUGAAUUCUGUGUCUUUAAUAUGUAAGAAAGAAAGAAUCUUUAUCAUUGUGUACGAGAGUUCACUUUCAACUUU